This 685-nucleotide long non-coding RNA is filed under the name Calidris pugnax (ruff). RNAcentral's name for it is "lncRNA (ENSCPUG00000011145.1)". Lineage: Eukaryota; Metazoa; Chordata; Aves; Charadriiformes; Scolopacidae. The record is from RNAcentral.
CUUGUUACCUGCAACUCUAUGUGGCGAAAACUAUUAGUGGUUAAUGCAUUAAGUUUGUGUUUGACUAUUUUCUUUAAUUUUAUAUAUAUAUAUACACACACAUGCAUAAUGUUCUGGUUGCCAGCUGACUGCUGCUGUACAUUGAACAAAGUUUGUUUAUGACUACAGGUCCCAUUCCUCGUUGAUAACAGUUAAUUCAGGCUCCAAACAGGAGACAGCUGCUUAAGUGUUCCCUGACUGGUGUUGCUGAGCACGAAGCACCGAAUAUCAGGCUGCCCGAGCAAAUGUUUUGACAUUCCGUGCUGAACAGAAGCCAAGCUACACUUUCAAAUCAGGGUGCUCAUGUGUGCCUGGAGGAGGACUACCUGGGCUCUCAGAGGCUUUACCUGGCUCCAGAAACUCAGCUGCGAAGUCACAACACCGCAAAGAAGUCUCCGUUGAAGUGCCUUGCCCAUGCAGUACCGGAGUGCUGAACUGGCCCUUGCAGUGGUGGCCCCUCCAGGACUCCACAUUCCUCUCAGAUGUCUAUCAAGGCAUGGCAGUUCUAAUGCCUCGUGGAGGCUGCUGGGGAAACUUCCCGACUCAGUGCACCUCCUGGUAUCAUGACGUCUUUCAAAGCCCUUGUGUUCCCUUUUCCAUCCAGUACGAUCUGAUUUUCUGCUCCUGGACGGAUGCAGCCCACAAC